Molecule: ribosomal RNA, 397 nt
Filed under: uncultured bacterium
Lineage: Bacteria
Description: partial 16S ribosomal RNA
Rfam family: Bacterial small subunit ribosomal RNA
Source: RNAcentral
AUACGUAGGUGGCAAGCGUUGUCCGGAAUUAUUGGGCGUAAAGCGCGCGCAGGCGGUCCUUUAAGUCUGAUGUGAAAGCCCACGGCUCAACCGUGGAGGGUCAUUGGAAACUGGGGGACUUGAGUGCAGAAGAGGAAAGUGGAAUUCCAAGUGUAGCGGUGAAAUGCGUAUAGAUUUGGAGGAACACCAGUGGCGAAGGCGACUUUCAGGGCUGUAACUGACGCUGUGUACGGAAAGAGUGGGGACUAAACAGGAUUAGUUGGCCUGGGGGUCCACGCCGUAAACGAUGAUUGCUAAGUGUUAGGGGGUUUCCGCCCCUUAGUGCUGCAGCUAAAGCAUUAAGCACUCCGCCUGGGGAGUACGGUCGCAAGACUGAAACUCAAAUGAAUUGACGGGG